This 5255-nucleotide long non-coding RNA is filed under the name Triticum aestivum (bread wheat). Its description in RNAcentral is "long non-coding RNA (TAES_LNC022238)". Lineage: Eukaryota; Viridiplantae; Streptophyta; Magnoliopsida; Poales; Poaceae. The record is from RNAcentral.
UUUCUUUGUAUCUGUCUCAGGCUUCUGUACCACCUGCAAGUUCUGCAGUUAAAGACUCACCUUCAUCUAGCACAAAGGAGGACUCAGAAAAUGGAGAAAUAUCCACUGACAAGCAGGAUGAGGAAAAAACUACUCUUGGAGAUGCGUUGUCCAUGAACCGGGCUUCAGAAGCAUCUCCAACAUCUGUUGAAGAGCUUCAGAAUCUUGCAGGAGGAGCGGAUAUUAAGGUAGUGAAAUUGGACUGGAUACUUUUUAAUCCUUCCAUCAGGACAAUCUGAACGGUUAUAUAUUUCAUUAGUUAGCUCUAAUACGAUGUUCCAUUUUGAAGGGGUUGGAGGCCGUUCUUGACAAGGCUGUUGAACUUGAGGAUGGAAAGAAAGUUUCAGGGUAGGUUGAACUUUAAAUUGUGUUUAGCACUUACUCAUAUCCAGAAUAUUACUUCCUUGCAUCAUUCCUAGUGACAUGUUAAGAGGUGGCAGUAACUUACUACCUUUGCCUCCCUUUCCUCUCUUUUCCAGCGGAAUUGACCUGGAUACAAUGAACAUAAUUCAGCGGGAUGCACUAUUGCUUUUUAGGACUCUUUGCAAGGUUAGUGUUUCUAUUGAAUGGCCUACAUGAUGUUACUUUUAUCAGACUUGACUAGACUAUUCCCUGCAAAAGGAGACUUGGCUAGAGUAUCACAUGUUCAUCUUUCACCUUUUUUUUCUUCUCAUCCUCCUAGAUGAGCAUGAAAGAAGAAAGUGAUGAGGUUGCUACCAAGACAAGGCUGCUGUCACUUGAACUGUUGCAGGUUAGUGUACAUCGUGGAGGUUGUUAAUAUUUUUUUUCUUUGUUUAGAUGAUAUCUUCUGAUUCUUUUAUCUGCAGGGAUUGUUAGAAGGAGUCAGUGAUUCGUUUGCCAAAAAUUUCCACUUCAUUGAUUCAGUUAAAGCAUACCUUUCCUACGCUCUUCUCCGGGCAUCUGUGUCUUCAUCUCCAGUUGUUUUUCAGGUCAUUUUUAUAAUUUUUUCCCUUGUGAUGCAUACCCUUGUGGCAUGAUUAUAUUGAUAGAUUCUUCUAUAAUUUUAAACCAGCUUUUCUUGUUUGGCAGUACGCUACCGGAAUAUUUUCAGUUCUUCUGCUUCGGUUUAGAGAGAGUCUCAAGGUAAAAUUUCUAUCAGAAGAACUUACAUUUUUUGCAGCAUUGAAUUUCUUCUGGUAUCCUGACCUUUUUUUUUGAAAUACUAUGCAGGGAGAAAUUGGUGUUUUCUUUCCUUUGAUAGUCUUAAGGUCUCUAGAUAGCUCUGAUAGCUCCCUUAGUCAGAAGUCCAGUGUCCUUAGGUGAUGCCUCUUUCUUUAUGGAACCUUAUCUUGGUGCAUAAUGCAUAAACAUACAAUGCGUUUGAUCCAAUUUUGUCUUCUUUAUCUUUUAUUUGUUUUGCUGACAUAGAUCAUCUUCCUGCCCAUAUAUGUCUGAUGUUGUUCAAUUGACUUGUUUUUCAAUUAGAAUGCUGGAAAAAGUCUGCAAAGACUCACAGAUGCUUGCGGAUAUGUUUGUAAAUUAUGAUUGUGACAUUGACGGGCCAAACCUUUUUGAACGCAUGGUAAGUACAAGGAAGAUUGUUUUGUAACCACAGGGGACUGGCAUAUCCUCAAGUUUGUCGACUUGUGAGUUGUGUAUCUGAUUGUUCGUAUACUUCUUAUCAGGUUAGUGCUCUUUCAAGAAUUGCACAUGGAUCUCAAAGUGCUGAUAGUGCUGCAGUUGCUUCAUCGCAGACAGUUUCUGUAAAAGGAUCAUCUAUUCAGGUUACUAUUAUUCUGAUUACUCAAAAAUUCUUCGCAUUUUCUUAUGUGACACUAAUAUCACACAUAAAUCUGAAUCGCAGUGCUUGGUCAGUAUUUUGAAGUCAUUGGUUGAUUGGGAGCAAGCUCGAAGAGAUUCCUCAAAUCAUGGGAGCGUUGCCGAAUCUCAUGAUGAUGGUGCUUCUGCAAGGAGCUUGGCAACUGAUGAGACGAAGGUCCAAGAGGAUGGUCGCAAUCAGUUUGAGAGAGCUAAAGCUCACAAAUCAACAAUGGAGGCUGCAAUUUCAGAGGUGGGAGGCUUGCUGUUAUUAUUUGGCUUCCUUUACCUGAUGAUACUUCACAAAUACAUGUAAAUGGUUGUACCAAACCUGUUGUCCUAGUUUUGUCUCACUGCACUACUGAUUGUAACUGGCCCUUUCGCCCCUUCUAUAUUACAGUUCAAUCGCAAGCCAGCAAAGGGGGUCGAGUAUUUAUUGUCAAAUAAGUUGAUUGAAAAUAAGGCAUCAUCUGUAGCUCAGUUUCUCAAGAGCAAUGCCAGCUUGGAUAAGGUGAUUUCAUGGAAUUUAAUGUUCUUUGUGCUGUUGCAGUUAUUGGUCAGAGCGAUGUGGCUACCCACUAACUUUGAUGAGCUGUAACUUUGCAGGUAAUGAUUGGUGAAUAUUUGGGACAGCAUGAGGAAUUUCCCCUUGCUGUGAUGCAUGCUUAUGUCGAUUCCAUGAAGUUUUCGGGGUUGAAGUUUGAUGCCGCAAUUCGCGAGUUCCUCAAAGGAUUUCGCCUUCCUGGGGAGGCACAAAAGAUUGAUCGCAUAAUGGAAAAAUUUGCUGAGCGGUAUGCAUUUGUAGAAUCUUAAUACAGUUUUUCUUUGACAUUUUCUAUUGUGGUCCUCAAAUAAUUAUGUGAUGACUUGCAGGUACUGUGCUGAUAACCCCGGGCUCUUUAAAAAUGCAGAUACUGCUUAUAUUCUUGCUUAUGCUGUUAUAAUGUUAAAUACUGAUGCACAUAAUCCAAUGGUAUGGCCUAAGAUGUCAAAAUCAGAUUUCGUACGUUUGAACACUGCAAGUGAUGAAGAGGAAUGUGCUCCUAAGGAGCUCUUGGAGGAACUUUAUGAUUCAAUUAUCAAUGAAGAGAUAAAGAUGAAAGAUGAUCUUCAUGCGGCAAAAACUAGUAAAGUAAGACCUGAAAUAGAAGAAAAGGGUCGCCUCGUCAAUAUCCUCAAUUUAGCUCUCCCAAGACUGAAAUCAGCAAGUGAUACAAAGGCAGAAAGUGAAAAAAUUAUUAAGCAGACCCAAGCAGUUUUCAAAAACCAGGGACAGAAGAGGGGUGUUUUUCAUGUUGCUCAGCAGGUUGAGCUUGUUAGACCAAUGGUCGAGGCUGUAGGAUGGCCUUUGCUUGCAACAUUUUCUGUAACUAUGGAGGAAGGUGACAACAAGCCUAGGGUUGUAUUGUGCAUGGAAGGGUUUAAGGCUGGUAUUCAUCUUACUCGUGUUCUUGGGAUGGAGACCAUGCGCUAUGCUUUCUUGACAUCCUUAGUGAGGUAAGAAAAUUAACCCUUUCUAUUUAUGAAUAUGCAUUGUUUAUUUCUUUAUUUUUCCCAUUUAAUUAUAUGGAUGUAAUGGUGUCUUUUCCUUCAUUAACCUUUUGCAGGUUUACAUUUCUGCAUGCUCCCAAGGAAAUGCGUAGUAAAAAUGUUGAGGCAUUGCGAACUCUCCUUGCCUUAGCUGACACGGAUAUGGAUGCUUUGCAAGAUGCUUGGAAUGCUGUUUUAGAAUGUGUCUCAAGACUCGAGUAUAUCACUUCAGUUCCUUCAAUGGCCGCAACUGUUAUGCAGGGAUCAAAUCAAAUAUCAAGGGAUUCUGUAGUUCAGUCACUGAAAGAGUUGUCGGGGAAGCCUGCUGAACAAGUGUUUGUAAACAGUGUAAAACUACCAAGUGAUUCUAUUGUUGAAUUCUUCGAUGGUCUAUGUACUAUUUCUGCUGAAGAACUUAAACAGACACCUCCUCGUGUCUUCAGCUUGCAAAAGCUUGUUGAAAUAAGCUACUACAAUAUGGCACGGAUACGUUUGGUAUGCUUUUGUCUAUCAUUGUUUGCAUUAUGCUUCCUAUUGUUCUCUUAGCAAUUCUUGUGUUAUUUCAUGAGACUUAAUUUUCAGUGACAUAGUGAAGAGAUAAAUAAGUAGGUCGAAAUUGCUUACUUUCUUACUAUUAUAUGCCAUUGUAGAGGAUGCUUCAUUGAAUCAGGCAAUAUCUUCAUUCUGUGAGAAAGAUUUUUUAUUUUUUAUUCAAAGAAGAACUAACAUAAUUUUAUAUUAUGUUAGAAAGGCCUGCUUAUUUUUCAUUGAGAGCAUUAUGGGGGCAGGGGAGAGUUGAGACUGGUUUAUUCAGAAUUGUUUUUGUUUAGCCAUUGGCCAUUGGCCAUUCAGUUUAUGCCCAUGUAAACUAUAGAAUGACCCUAAUUUCUAAAUAUAUGAAGUUGUGGAUAUGCACCUAAUUGGUGAGCGUCCUUGAAUUUUACUCAACUGAGAGCCUGAACACCUAAUUUUUCAAGUUCUUCUGGAUGAAGGGAUGCACCCCUACCUGAUUUUUUUAAGAAAUAUGCUGUUUUACUGAAAUAUACAAUCGAACUGGGUACAAUCUACUGGAAUCUCUAGGGCGUGCUGAAAUCACAAUUUACUAUAUAAUUGGAGGUGAUUACCGGGUACCACUGCAAACAGGUUCAGUAGGGUUUAUUUACCAUUCUGUUUAGGGUCGCCGUGUUCAGCCAAUUGUCAGAUGGCCAUCUUUCCCUUCAAGAAAAAAUAGGAAAAUAAAAAGAAAAUCACUGUGCUGAGGAAUUUUAUCAAUAACUUGAUGGAGAUGGGCCUGCGAUUGUGUGCGGAGUGAGCAGAUACAGCAGCAUAUGCAGCCACCUCAGGUACAGUCUUGGAGGGUUGGUUUCUGGCUCGGCAGGAGAUAGGGGGCCACACCUGGGUUCAGCCCUUUCUGUGGUAUACCACAUGUGCACUGGGAAUGAUGUGCAGCAGUGGAGCGAGCACAUGUGAAUGGUCUGCGUAGGGGGGAUGGCGUCCCAAUUAAGUGGGGGAGAAAAAGUAAACUUCAUAGAAAAUGCGUGGGGAAAGUUUGGGCCUUUCUCAAAUAUAUGUUUGGCAAGUGGUAGAAAACGCCAUAGCUUAUGUGAAGCAGCACAAAGUUGUGGAUGAGCAACUUCACCUUGCUGCUACAAUGUGUGCAGCACAAGUGUUGAAGGAACAACUUCAACGUGCUGCGCUAGAUAUUGCUCUAGAGGCGAAUAUAGGCCGAUAGGGCAGCAGGAGUUCAAUCCAAAACUCAUAGAACGCUAGAUCUAGUCCAAGAUCUUAGAUAAGAACACCAAGUUCUAUUAUAGGCAGUGGGGGUACAUAGUCUCCCUACAAACUAGAGGUGAGGACCUCUAUUUAUAGGGCUUUGGGAAGCCUACACAUACUUCUACUUAUGGCUA